CGAUUAAGACUUCCUUCGGGAAGUGCAUAAAGUGGCGCACGGGUGAGUAACACGUAAGUAAUCUACCCUCGAGUGGGGAAUAACGUUCGGAAACGAACGCUAAUACCGCAUAACGCAGCGGCACCGCAAGGUGACAGUUGUUAAAGGAGUAAUUCGCUUGAGGAGGAGCUUGCGGCAGAUUAGCUAGUUGGUAAGGUAACGGCUUACCAAGGCUACGAUCUGUAUCCGGUCUAAGAGGACGGUCGGACACACUGACACUGAAUAACGGGUCAGACUCCUACGGGAGGCAGCAGUCGGGAAUUUUGGGCAAUGGGCGAAAGCCUGACCCAGCAACGCCGCGUGAAGGAUGAAGUAUUUCGGUAUGUAAACUUCGAAAGAAUGGGAAGAAUAAAUGACGGUACCAUUUAUAAGCUCCGGCUAACUACGUGCCAGCAGCCGCGGUAAUACGUAGGGAGCAAGCGUUGUUCGGAUUUACUGGGCGUAAAGGGCGCGUAGGCGGCGCGGUAAGUCACUUGUGAAAUCUCUGAGCUUAACUCAGAACGGCCAAGUGAUACUGCAGUGCUAGAGUGCAGAAGGGGCAAUCGGAAUUCUUGGUGUAGCGGUGAAAUGCGUAGAUAUCAAGAGGAACACCUGAGGUGAAGACGGGUUGCUGGGCUGACACUGACGCUGAGGCGCGAAAGCCAGGGGAGCAAACGGGAUUAGAUACCCCGGUAGUCCUGGCCCUAAACGAUGAAUACUUGGUGUCUGGAGUUCCAAGGCUCCGGGUGCCGUCGCUAACGUUUUAAGUAUUCCGCC
Molecule: ribosomal RNA, 795 nt
Filed under: uncultured Bacillota bacterium
Lineage: Bacteria; Bacillati; Bacillota
Description: bacterial SSU rRNA
Rfam family: Bacterial small subunit ribosomal RNA
Source: RNAcentral